UACGUAGGGGGCAAGCGUUGUCCGGAAUCAUUGGGCGUAAAGAGCGUGUAGGCGGCCCGGUAAGUCCGCUGUGAAAGUCCAGGGCUCAACCCUGGGAUGCCGGUGGAUACUGUCGGGCUCGAGUCCGGAAGAGGAGUGUGGAAUUCCUGGUGUAGCGGUGAAAUGCGCAGAUAUCAGGAGGAACACCAAUGGCGAAGGCAGCCUUCUGGGCCAACACUGACGCUCAUGCACGAAAGCGUGGGGAGCAAACAGG
Molecule: ribosomal RNA, 253 nt
Filed under: uncultured bacterium
Lineage: Bacteria
Description: partial 16S ribosomal RNA
Rfam family: Bacterial small subunit ribosomal RNA
Source: RNAcentral